AUUGAACGCUGGCGGCAGGCUUAACACAUGCAAGUCGAGCGGGGGAAGGUAGCUUGCUACCGGACCUAGCGGCGGACGGGUGAGUAAUGCUUAGGAAUCUGCCUAUUAGUGGGGGACAACAUCUCGAAAGAGAUGCUAAUACCGCAUACGUCCUACGGGAGAAAGCAGGGGAUCUUCGGACCUUGCGCUAAUAGAUGAGCCUAAGUCGGAUUAGCUAGUUGGUGGGGUAAAGGCCUACCAAGGCGACGAUCUGUAGCGGGUCUGAGAGGAUGAUCCGCCACACUGGGACGGAGACACGGCCCAGACUCCUACGGGAGGCAGCGGUGGGGAAUAUUGGACAAUGGGGGGAACCCCGAUCCAGCCAUGCCGCGUGUGUGAAGAAGGCCUUAUGGUUGUAAAGCACUUUAAGCGAGGAGGAGGCUACUUUAGUUAAUACCUAGAGAUAGUGGACGUUACUCGCAGAAUAAGCACCGGCUAACUCUGUGCCAGCCGCCGCGGUAA
This 501-nucleotide ribosomal RNA is filed under the name uncultured bacterium. RNAcentral's name for it is "partial 16S ribosomal RNA". It matches the Rfam family "Bacterial small subunit ribosomal RNA", at positions 30 to 523 of the family's 1533-position model. The record is from RNAcentral.